Molecule: ribosomal RNA, 513 nt
Filed under: uncultured bacterium
Lineage: Bacteria
Description: partial 16S ribosomal RNA
Rfam family: Bacterial small subunit ribosomal RNA
Source: RNAcentral
GAUGAACGCUGGCGGCGUGCCUAAUACAUGCAAGUCGAGCGAACAGACGAGGAGCUUGCUCCUCUGACGUUAGCGGCGGACGGGUGAGUAACACGUGGAUAACCUACCUAUAAGACUGGGAUAACUUCGGGAAACCGGAGCUAAUACCGGAUAAUAUAUUGAACCGCAUGGUUCAAUAGUGAAAGACGGUUUUGCUGUCACUUAUAGAUGGAUCCGCGCCGCAUUAGCUAGUUGGUAAGGCAACGGCUUACCAAGGCAACGAUGGGGAGCCGACCUGGGAGGGUGAGCGGCCACACUGGAACUGAGACACGGUCCAGACUCCUACGGGAGGCAGCAGUAGGGAAUCUUCCGCAAUGGGCGAAAGCCUGACGGAGCAACGCCGCGUGAGUGAUGAAGGUCUUCGGAUCGUAAAACUCUGUUAUUAGGGAAGAACAAAUGUGUAAGUAACUAUGCACGUCUUGACGGUACCUAAUCAGAAAGCCACGGCUAACUACGUGCCAGCAGCCGCGGUAA